Molecule: long non-coding RNA, 210 nt
Filed under: Zostera marina
Lineage: Eukaryota; Viridiplantae; Streptophyta; Magnoliopsida; Alismatales; Zosteraceae
Description: long non-coding RNA (ZMAR_LNC005505)
Source: RNAcentral
UGAUACAGUUGUUUUGCAGGUUAUUUUUGUUUUGCAGGAACGAUCUUGUCGCUUUGGCCAGGAUCCACGCAUUCUGUCGCUUCGGCCAGAAUCAGACUCUAAACGAGUCGGUCCAUUUUGUCGCUAUGGCCUCAAUGGACCAAAGAAUUAUUUUGUCGCUUUGGCCUCAAUAAUUCUUCUAUCUUGUCGCUUUGGCCUUGAUAGACUUGG